Molecule: ribosomal RNA, 606 nt
Filed under: uncultured bacterium
Lineage: Bacteria
Description: bacterial SSU rRNA
Rfam family: Bacterial small subunit ribosomal RNA (bases 1-518)
Source: RNAcentral
CCGUACGGGAGGCAGCAGGUGGGGAAUCUUGCGCAAUGGGCGAAAGCCUGACGCAGCCAUGCCGCGUGAAUGAUGAAGGUCUUAGGAUUGUAAAAUUCUUUCACCGAGGACGAUAAUGACGGUACUCGGAGAAGAAGCCCCGGCUAACUUCGUGCCAGCAGCCGCGGUAAUACGAAGGGGGCUAGCGUUGCUCGGAAUUACUGGGCGUAAAGGGAGCGUAGGCGGAUAGUUUAGUCAGAGGUGAAAGCCCAGGGCUCAACCUUGGAAUUGCCUUUGAUACUGGCUAUCUUGAGUACGGAAGAGGUAUGUGGAACUCCGAGUGUAGAGGUGAAAUUCGUAGAUAUUCGGAAGAACACCAGUGGCGAAGGCGACAUACUGGUCCGUUACUGACGCUGAGGCUCGAAAGCGUGGGGAGCAAACAGGAUUAGGAUACCCUGGUAGUCCACGCUGUAAACGAUGAGUGCUAGUUGUCGGCAUGNAUGCNUGUCGUGACGCAGCGUACGCAUAGACACUCCGCCGUCGGGAGGUACGGUCGCGAAGAAGUUAAACGUUAAAGUAGUAAGUAGACGCGUGAGACGUGACCGACGGACGACGACGAGGGAGAGG